RNA transcript from Phoenix dactylifera (date palm), 4125 nucleotides. RefSeq lists it as uncharacterized. The record is from RefSeq and is a predicted model, not a curated record. NCBI's taxonomy places the organism in Eukaryota, Viridiplantae, Streptophyta, Magnoliopsida, Arecales, Arecaceae.
GGUCUGCUGGGCUCGGCCUGCAUGAGCUCAGUCUUCUGGGCUCGGCCUGCAUGAGCUCGGCCUUCUGAGCUCGGACGUCGGAUUCAGGUGUUCUGAUUAUAUUUGUGGGGUGGUUCAUUUUUCCCCCAACACUACGAAUUCUAUUAUAUUGGAUUCAAACAAAGAUGUCGUCAAUUGAUGACCUUCUCAAUGCAGUGAUCAAGAAAAAGCCCCACCUUUUUUCCCCCUGUAGUACGUACUCAUUGGUUCUUCCGUGUAGUUGGUAAAUCCAGUAAUUAUAAGGUCUCGAUCUCCUGCAUAUUGCUAUAGUAAUUCUAUGAGAAACUGAUCACAUUUCUCAGAUUCACUGAUCAUUCUAGUUAUGAACAUGCUUGCUGACAUGCACUGCAUGUGUACUAAUUCACGCUGAAUUCAGAUUUUGAGAGGGUGACGGUUCUGUUAUUCUGCAAGUUAAAAUCGAGUUUAGGUAACUGUUGCUGGAAUCCACCUAAUAAAAAAUUGGCCUGGUAUUUGCCGGCCCAAACCAAAACCAAUGAGGUUUCGAUUUAGCUAAUUCAAACAUUGGUUUAGCUCAAGUUGGUUGAGGUUACCCAGGCUCUAAUCGCACCCCACCGUGCAGUAGCAUGAUCCCAAGGGUUGGCCUCAGACUUGCUUCAUCACAUCCUUCAAGAUAUUCAUGAGGAGACGCCGUAUUGUACACCAUGAUGGAUUCGAGAUGGUAUGAGUGCUAGGUUAGUAUCAGAGGGAAGAGUUUGGAGGAUAAGCAUUUAAGCAUUAGAGUUUAGAACUAGAAUCAACAAGAGAAUCAAGACAAACUAAAGCAUAAACAGCCUUUUCAUUCUAGCUAUCUUGGCAUUGAUGGCGAGAAACAAGCCACAUCAAAAGAAUUAAAAGCAAGGUAGAUUUAGUGGAAAGUUGCUUUUAUGGCAGUCAUUAUGUUCUUUGAAUGUUUUGGAAAAAAGGUGUUACUUUACAACUUGGUUGAUGAUGCAUGCAUUUAAACAUAGGCUAUAAAGAAGGUUGAAGCAUCUGAGAUCAGCUCCGAGAUGAAAACAUUGAAGUAAAUCAAUGAUAAAGCUAGGAUGAUGAGCAUAGUUGACCAAUUAAACUUGUGGAGGAGCAUCUUUUAUAGUAUGAGCAUGUGAAACAAUGAUCCAGGAAGGUCCAUACGAGAGAGAGGUCAUAAACUCAUAACUAGCAUUGAAGGGUUAGGGAGAUGAGGAGAUGGUAUUAUGAGAAAAAGAACCUAGUUGUAAGUCAUGAGAAAGGAUUUAAGAAAAUUUGUGCAUAAAUAAUGAAGAAAUUAACUGGAAGAAGAAUUCAGAGAGCACAUGUGGUUGAGCCAAGAUUUUUUGACUAUAGUUACAAGUUGAUAUGUUGAGGAGGCAGGAUGAAUUGUACAAAGAAUGUACUACAGCUCUGCACGGUGGGUUGCUGUUGACUAACAAGAAUUUUAAUGCUAUAAGAGAUGCAGUUCAGAAAGCUUUUCAGAAUGUUGACUUCAAACUCUUGAUUUGGUGAGCACUCAGUUUUCUUUGCAGAGUCAUGAGAAAUCUAAAUCAUAAAGGAUAUCGAUCUAUUCUAGCAAACAAUCUUUUUCAGAAAUGUAAUAAAUGUUCAUCUAAACUAUCAUAAAUUUUAGGAUUUGUUUGGUGUUUCUUCUGUGAACAGAUGGGGAAUGAAGUUGAUUCUGGCGCAACAGCUACCGUAGUGUUUCUGGGGAAUGAUAUCCUGAUUAUUUCGCAUCUUGGUGACUCAUGCAUGGUAUUCUCCUUUUAUUUUCUACCAUUCUUGUUGAGCAUCAUUGCAAACUGAUAUCGUGGGAUAUGUCUUCCACCAAUGCCUGUGCAAUUUGCAAAUUGAUGAAUCUCAAAAAGAAAUCCUUAUUGCUUUAGAAUGAAUUACAAAUGCACGUAAUAUCCUGUAUGUGAAAGGCUGAAGUUCUAACAAAUCCCCAUCAACCUUUUGGGAGCAACAGACUAUUUCUUGAAUAAGUCAAGCGAAUUAGAGCUGCAGGUGGAUGGGUGUGUUUUCCUUUUCUUUUUUUAAUGCAUACUUUAUAGACACAAUUUUGAGUUCUGAAGCAAAUUUUAGCUAGUAUCUUUGCACAAGUUGCUAUCAAUUCUAUUUACGUAGUUCUCUGUUAGUCUCUUUUACUUGGGAUUGUGUGAAAUGCAAUAAUUUUAAUAAAGUUAAUGAUUAAAAUUAACAUGGUGCGUAGGUCAUAUGUAAUAUUGCAUAGAUGUAUGGAUCACUCCAAGGUCAAGUUGGGCAUAUUUAGUACGCUCAUUCGCUGAAGUAAUUCUGCAUAUCAAGGAAAUUUAAGUAAACACUCAUGGAAUUGUAGCAGGCCAUGUUCUUUUGCUUUAAAUCUAGGGGCAUAAAUGGGUCACAUUAGCUGCAUUUUUUCAAGUUUUUGUUUGACAUCCAACUGACUUGGAAAUGAAGUAACAUGCUUGGGGUCACAUUUUAGCUUAUCCUCAAAAUUCUUGACUUCAAGCCCCAGCUGUUGUCAGGAUGGGCUGGAAAUUUCUAGAGGGCUUCUUUCUCUGAUUUUUCAAGCAGAUCCUGAAUUUUUCAACUUUUGCUGUGUCUGCUGGAACCAGAUCAACCACGUUACUUCUGGAUUGGGAUACUGGUUGAUCCAACCUGUUCAAAGGCCUAAGGCAGCUUUUUGAUUGUUGUUCUCCCCUGACCACUCUAGAUUAGUCAUCAUCCUGUUUCCAAUAGAUGAUGCUUCUUGUUUAAUUGUAUAACACCCAUGCUUUUACUUCUAUGGUUAAACUUACUUUUGUAGUUGGUAUUUUGGCUUUUUUGUUUUGGCCUUGCGCUUCUAGUUUCGAUAAUUGCAUCGUAGGCUGAAUUACAUGUUUUGGUUGUUUAUAGCGGUACUCUACUAGUGGUAUGGAAGGAUUAAGUUUUACUUUAACUAAAUGUGUUAGAUUAUUUGUAAUGUAUCCAUAUUCUUUGUAUUUAACCACAUUCAGUGCCAAUGUACAGUUUUCAACUUUUCAAAUUCCAAAUUUUAUGCCUCUAUCAAACAUUUUUUAACUAAUGGGUCUUUCCUUGUCCUUCUCUUUUUCCCCCCUUCUACUUAUAUGCAUAAAUCUCUGUUGAUAUUACAUUAGAUAUAGUUUACUAAUAUUCUAAAACAGUUGUUUGUUUUUAUGUCCGUCAAAUGUUAUAUGCCAAUAGUGGCAUUCCAUGUUUAGUAUGAUCGAUAUAUUGCCUGUUAAUUUGCUCUCACAAUCAAGUGUAAUUUUUUUUCAAAGGAUCCCUAUGAUUUCUUAUAAGCAAUUAUCAGGUUGCUGUCCAUUUUCACAACUUGUAUUUUGUGAUGCUUAUGCUGAUUUAUAAUGACCGCAGACUGCUGAUGGACUUAUUUGUAGUGACAUCCCUGCAUCUCGCACUUUUGGAGACAUGCGAUUUAAGACAGAAGAAUGACAUACAGUUCAAAGGGGAGUUCGCGACCUCUUCACGGGACAUAUAUCAAGCAGAUCUUGGAUCUGAUGUGGAGUUUAUAUUGCCAGUCUCUGAUGGUUUAUGGGAUUAUAUGAAAAGCUCUGAUGCAGUAACUUUUGUAAGAAAUCGACUCGGCCGACAUGGUGAUCUUCAGGCGCAGGGUUUGCUAUCUUGAUUUCUUGUCCCAGAUCUCUGUAACUUGCAUGACCAAGUCCAAUUUUCUCUCGGUUUAAUUUCAGCCGGCUUGCAAUGCACUUGCUCAUAUGGCUUUGGACCGACCAUCGCAAGAUAAUACAAGCAUAGUGAUUGCCAACCUGAGAUAACCACCUAUAGAUCCUUAAAAAUGUUUUGUGGAGCCGUUCAUUGUUGAUUUGCUGCCUAUUCUUUUUGUCCAUGAGGACUUGUAGGAGGACAGAUCGGCAGAAGUUGCCAGAUUAGGGGCCAAACUUUGUAUAUGAAGUCAAGCUUUCGCAACCAUCGGUAUUAUCUCAUCAGGAAUCUGGAUAUCAUCUUUCCUUCUAUCAUGAAUCAGAAGCCUCGGAAUGUACAUAAUUUUUUAGAUAGAUAUCAACUCCUUGAUGUAUACGUGUGAAUUUGUAAAUCUACGUAUCAUAUAUUUUUUGAUGUUGAAUGCUGUUUAUGAGUAAUUAUCUGCCUUUAUUU